GAGCGCAGGCGGUUUUUAAGUCUGAUGUGAAAGCCCUCGGCUUAACCGAGGAAGCGCAUCGGAAACUGGGAAACUUGAGUGCAGAAGAGGACAGUGGAACUCCAUGUGUAGCGGUGAAAUGCGUAGAUAUAUGGAAGAACACCAGUGGCGAAGGCGGCUGUCUGGUCUGUAACUGACGCUGAGGCUCGAAAGCAUGGGUAGCGAACAGGAUUAGAUACCCUGGUAGUCCAUGCCGUAAACGAUGAAUGCUAGGUGUUGGAGGGUUUCCGCCCUUCAGUGCCGCAGCUAACGCAUUAAGCAUUCCGCCUGGGGAGUACGACCGCAAGGUUGAAACUCAAAGGAAUUGACGGGGGCCCGCACAAGCGGUGGAGCAUGUGGUUUAAUUCGAAGCAACGCGAAGAACCUUACCAGGUCUUGACAUCUUUUGAUCACCUGAGAGAUCAGGUUUCCCCUUCGGGGGCAAAAUGACAGGUGGUGCAUGGUUGUCGUCAGCUCGUGUCGUGAGAUGUUGGGUUAAGUCCCGCAACGAGCGCAACCCUUAUGACUAGUUGCCAGCAUUUAGUUGGGCACUCUAGUAAGACUGCCGGUGACAAACCGGAGGAAGGUGGGGAUGACGUCAAAUCAUCAUGCCCCUUAUGACCUGGGCUACACACGUGCUACAAUGGAUGGUACAACGAGUUGCGAGACCGCGAGGUCAAGCUAAUCUCUUAAAGCCAUUCUCAGUUCGGACUGUAGGCUGCAACUCGCCUACACGAAGUCGGAAUCGCUAGUAAUCGCGGAUCAGCACG
RNAcentral lists this ribosomal RNA (788 nucleotides) under uncultured bacterium. Its description in RNAcentral is "bacterial SSU rRNA". It matches the Rfam family "Bacterial small subunit ribosomal RNA", at positions 567 to 1356 of the family's 1533-position model. The record is from RNAcentral.